GUCUUCAUUCCGUGCCUGACAACAGGGAGUCAAAAGGGGCCAACAGGGAGUCAAAAGGGGCCAACAGGGAGUCAAAAGUGGCAUCUCCGAACCUGCUGCGAAGCCCUGAAACUUUACUGGAGAGCGCAAAGUGAGGGGCUUCUGCAGAACAAAAUGUCUGAGUUUGUGCCUUGAGCUUUCCCGGGGUCCUGAAAGCCAAACUCCCUCGUAGGCGUAAAGGUCAGGAAUCCAGCAGCAGCGAGGUGAUAGACACGAAUCCCAGCAGUCGCUUGAGAUGCUUACUCUGGAAACAAACUCUCACAACAAAAGUGGCAAGAACAGGAGACCUGAUGCAAUGGCAAAACAGAUGAAAACCGUGUGUUCCAUCCCAGGGGAGAGGCAGGGUGAGGAUACCACUAGGCUUUCACAUCCAACCCCUUCAUGUGAAUGAUUUCUAACGGGAGCUCCUGUCCUUGCCUGCAGACAAAAGCAGAAUGCAUCACUGUUGCCAGACCACCUGGGACAUGGGGAGGAGAGG
This 517-nucleotide long non-coding RNA is filed under the name Cyanistes caeruleus (blue tit). Its description in RNAcentral is "lncRNA (ENSCCEG00000015679.1)". The record is from RNAcentral. Lineage: Eukaryota; Metazoa; Chordata; Aves; Passeriformes; Paridae.